RNAcentral lists this long non-coding RNA (1326 nucleotides) under Chrysemys picta bellii (western painted turtle). RNAcentral describes it as "lncRNA (ENSCPBG00000007770.1)". Lineage: Eukaryota; Metazoa; Chordata; Testudines; Emydidae. The record is from RNAcentral.
UAGCAUAGCAAGAGGUGGCAUAUCAACAGGGGAUGGAAGUAAGAAGGGGAACAUUUAACCACAAUAUAAGAAACAUCUUCUUACAGCUAUGACUACUAGCCAGUGGUAGAAGUGAAAACUCCACUGAAUGAUACAUUUAAAUCUCGACUGGACUAAAUACUAUUAUAUAAACUCCAAGAAAUAAAAUUAGUGGAGAAAUGCAUUAGAUUAAAGAACUUCUAGGUAUCUUCUCUAGGAUUCUUUAACUUUCUAUAUUUAUUUUAACCCUUUGCAUGACCAAAAUAAAUGUACUUGUAAUUCAGAUAUUUUCCACAGUUGUUCUGGAAACCUUUCAGUACACAACACAGUUCUUUAGUACUAAUAGGAAUAUACAAUUCAUCUUCUUAAAGGGACUUCAGGAAUUAACUAUCAUUACUUAAGAUAAUUAGUUGAUACUACUUAAGAUAAUUAGCUAGCACUACAGACCGAGCAAAGAUUGCAAGAUCAUUUUAAAUAAUCACUGGCAUCAUAGCAAGCAGUUUACCAAGAGACACAGUCUCAGCCAUUCAAUAAGUUAAAUAGAAAACUGUUAAAAAGUCAGUAAGUAACUGGCUGUAAAACCAAACUAUUUCAAUAUUAUUGUCUUUGUGAAUCUUGAUCCCUGAGAUCAUGUAAUCUCUCCUUAUUUGCAGCAGACCCUGCUAGGUGAGGUAGUACUCACUGUAACAGAAUCUGACCAUUAAUGGAUGUAUCAACUGCAGCCACAUGCGUAGACCAUGACUUUGAAUUUAAAACUACAGCUGAGCAAAAAUUUGCAGCCAAAACUUGUGCAGAUAUUGCCACCCCAAGCAGUAUCUUUGGGGUUGGGGGCGGGGGGAACUAUUGUAUUAAAUUUAUGAAUAGCUUAUAUAUAUUGAUUGUGUUCUACUCCACAGGGAGGGUCAUCACAGCACCUACAGCUAUAACACUAGGGGGUAAUUACCAUAGAGAUUGUAAACACCAAAUACUUUCCACCUCCUUGGGUGGUUUGCCUAUACUCAUUCAGGCUGUUUUUUUCCCCAGAUACUAGGAAACAAAGAAGGGGCUUUUCAUAUAAAAGAAUGAGUUUGAACUGACCUAUGGUCUUCCUUUUGAUUCAACAAACUGACAGGACCUUGGGUCCGCACCGCACCCCCACCCCCAACUUUGCUGAAGAGUUGGAAAGAUUGACACCUACCAGAGCUCUAUUUUGGAGUUGAAGUGUUCUAUAGGUAAGCAAGUGGGAACUUUUACAGUGUUUUGUAUGUGGGUUUUUUCCUUGUAAUGCUUUAACUAUAAUAAAUAAGGCCCUACCAUGAAAAAUGGCCA